CAGUCGCCACGGUAAUACGUAGGUGGCAAGCGUUGUCCGGAAUUAUUGGGCGUAAAGGGCUCGCAAGCGGUUUCUUAAGUCUGAUGUGAAAGCCCCCGGCUCAACCGGGGAGGGUCAUUGGAAACUGGGAAACUUGAGUGCAGAAGAGGAGAGUGGAAUUCCACGUGUAGCGGUGAAAUGCGUAGAGAUGUGGAGGAACACCAGUGGCGAAGGCGACUCUCUGGUCUGUAACUGACGCUGAGGAGCGCAAGCGUGGGGAGCGAACAGGACUAGAUACCCCGGUAGUCCCUGUCUCUUAUAA
RNAcentral lists this ribosomal RNA (301 nucleotides) under uncultured bacterium. RNAcentral describes it as "partial 16S ribosomal RNA". It matches the Rfam family "Bacterial small subunit ribosomal RNA", at positions 509 to 809 of the family's 1533-position model. The record is from RNAcentral.